Molecule: ribosomal RNA, 404 nt
Filed under: uncultured bacterium
Lineage: Bacteria
Description: bacterial SSU rRNA
Rfam family: Bacterial small subunit ribosomal RNA
Source: RNAcentral
UGGGGAAUAUUGGACAAUGGGGGCAACCCUGAUCCAGCCAUGCCGCGUGAGUGAAGAAGGCCCUAGGGUUGUAAAACUCUUUCACCUGUGAAGAUGAUGACGGUAACAGGAGAAGAAGCCCCGGCUAACUCCGUGCCAGCAGCCGCGGUAAUACGGAGGGGGCAAGCGUUGUUCGGAAUUACUGGGCGUAAAGGGCGCGUAGGCGGCUAUGAUAGUCAGGCGUGAAAGCCCCGGGCUUAACCUGGGAACUGCGUUUGAUACUGCAUGGCUAGAGAUUGGAAGAGGAGAGCGGAAUUCCCAGUGUAGAGGUGAAAUUCGUAGAUAUUGGGAAGAACACCAGUGGCGAAGGCGGCUCUCUGGUCCACAUCUGACGCUGAGGCGCGAAAGCGUGGGGAGCAAACAGG